RNAcentral lists this ribosomal RNA (506 nucleotides) under uncultured bacterium. RNAcentral's name for it is "partial 16S ribosomal RNA". The stretch from base 20 to 329 matches the Rfam family "Bacterial small subunit ribosomal RNA", at positions 47 to 358 of the family's 1533-position model. The record is from RNAcentral.
GAUGAACGCUGGCGGCGUGCUUAACACAUGCAAGUCGAACGGAAAGGCUCCUGCUUGCAGGGGUACUCGAGUGGCGAACGGGUGAGUAACACGUGGGUGAUCUGCCCUGCACUUCGGGAUAAGCCUGGGAAACUGGGUCUAAUACCGGAUAGGACCACAUUUUGGAUGGUGUGGUGGAAAGUUUUUCGGUGUGGGAUGAGCUCGCGGCCUAUCAGCUUGUUGGUGGGGUAAUGGCCUACCAAUGCGUCGACGGGUAGCCGGCCUGAGAGGGUGUACGGCCAGUGUGGGGUGGAGGUGCGGCCGAGGCUAGGAGGGGAGGGAGGGGUGGGACAUAUGGAGACAGGGGGGCAGUCCGGAGGCAGCGGCGAGGGGGGGGGGAGGGCGGCGUGGGGGUGGAACACUGCUGGCGGGGGGGACGAAGGCGAGGGGGAGGUACCGGGAGAAGAGGCCCUGACAAACGACGGACCAGCAGCGGCUGUAAGAAGAGGAAUAGCCACCUUCCGAAC